AACCGUUCGGGGGUAAACGGACAGAGCCCGUGAAUCCGGGCGCGCGGAAUUCAGGAUCGACGGUAAGCGUCGUCGAUUCGAUAUUUCCGCCGCCGACCCGUAUCGGGUGCGGACGUCGCGACCCGUUCGACGUCGGUCUUACGGGGCGCGCUUCAAGUUCGUUUGCGUUGGCGUCGUUGCGCUCGACGAUGGCGCGUCUUGNNCGGGCCGACGUUGACGGUAGCGGUAGAGCGGGUAUUCGACGCCGCCCGGCGCGCUUUCUCGUGCGUUGUCGGGCGCGCGCGUCGACGCCGGUCAGCGACGAAUCUUCGGGCCUCUUUCCGACCCGUCUUGAAACACGGACCAAGGAGUCUAACGUGCGCGCGAGUCGCGGGGUAUNCGAGUCGUUACGCGACUCGUCACGAUACGAAACCCGUUCACGUACGCUGUACGAAGGCGCAAUGAAAGUGAUGGGCGACGCGCCGCGCGUCAUCCGGGAAGACGGCGUUCCGCGUACACGUUUCUCGGUCGCACGGUACCGAGGCCGGACGCCCGCAUUCCCAGGGCGUCCCGUCGAUCCGCCGGCAGUGCGGAUUCGCGCCGGCUGCGGACGAAUCGGGGCGCACCUAUAGCGUGCACGUUGGUACCCGAAAGAUGGUGAACUAUGCCCGGCCAGGAUGAAGUCAGGGGAAACCCUGAUGGAGGUCCGCAGCGAUUCUGACGUGCAAAUCGAUCGUCUGAGCUGGGUAUAGGGGCGAAAGACUAAUCGAACCAUCUA
This 757-nucleotide ribosomal RNA is filed under the name Drepanococcus cajani. RNAcentral describes it as "partial large subunit ribosomal RNA". It matches the Rfam family "Eukaryotic large subunit ribosomal RNA", at positions 403 to 946 of the family's 3401-position model. Lineage: Eukaryota; Metazoa; Arthropoda; Insecta; Hemiptera; Coccidae. The record is from RNAcentral.